This 485-nucleotide ribosomal RNA is filed under the name uncultured bacterium. Its description in RNAcentral is "bacterial SSU rRNA". It matches the Rfam family "Bacterial small subunit ribosomal RNA", at positions 28 to 512 of the family's 1533-position model. The record is from RNAcentral.
GAUGAACGCUAGCGGCAGGCCUAAUACAUGCAAGUCGAACGAUAGUAUUAAGCUUGCUUAAUAUGAAAGUGGCGCACGGGUGCGUAACGCGUAUGAAACCUACCUUAAUCAGGGGGAUAGCCUUUCGAAAGAAAGAUUAAUACCGCAUAAUAUCACGAUGGGGCAUCCUGUUGUGAUCAAAUAUUUAUAGGAUUAAGAUGGUCAUGCGUGACAUUAGCUAGUUGGAGAGGUAAUGGCUCACCAAGGCGACGAUGUCUAGGGGAUCUGAGAGGAUGGCCCCCCACACUGGUACUGAGACACGGACCAGACUCCUACGGGAGGCAGCAGUAAGGAAUAUUGGUCAAUGGGCGGAAGCCUGAACCAGCCAUGCCGCGUGCAGGAAGACGGCCCUACGGGUUGUAAACUGCUUUUAUUCGGGAAUAAAUCUUUCUACGUGUAGGGAGUUGAAUGUACUGAAAGAAUAAGGAUCGCUAACUCCGUGCAGC